Molecule: RNA transcript, 2647 nt
Organism: Lutzomyia longipalpis
Lineage: Eukaryota; Metazoa; Arthropoda; Insecta; Diptera; Psychodidae
Gene name: cytochrome c oxidase subunit 1-like
Exons: 1
Source: RefSeq, a predicted model, not a curated record
AUGGCUUUCGUAAUUACUGCGGUCCUUUUAUUAUUAUCUCUCCCUGUUUUAGCAGGAGCUAUUACUAUACUCUUAACUGAUCGAAAUUUAAAUACCUCAUUUUUUGACCCAGCCGGAGGAGGUGAUCCUAUUUUAUACCAACACUUAUUUUGAUUUUUUGGCCACCCAGAAGUUUAUAUUCUUAUUUUACCAGGAUUUGGAAUAAUUUCCCAUAUUAUUAGAAAUGAAAGAGGGAAAAAGGAAACCUUUGGAACAUUAGGUAUAAUUUAUGCAAUAUUAGCUAUUGGUCUUCUUGGAUUUAUUGUUUGAGCUCAUCACAUAUUUACUGUAGGAAUAGAUGUUGACACACGAGCCUACUUUACCUCAGCAACUAUAAUUAUUGCCGUACCAACAGGAAUUAAAAUUUUUAGUUGAUUAGCUACAAUUCAUGGAUAUCAAUUAACAUACUCUCCUUCUUUAUUAUGAACAUUAGGGUUUAUUUUUUUAUUUACUGUUGGGGGACUAACAGGAGUUAUUCUUGCUAAUUCUUCUGUUGAUAUUAUUCUUCAUGAUACAUAUUAUGUAGUAGCACAUUUUCACUAUGUAUUAUCUAUAGGAGCUGUAUUUGCUAUUAUAGGAGGAUUUGUACACUGAUACCCAUUAUUUACAGGAUUAACUUUAAACUCUUAUCUUUUAAAAAUUCAAUUUUCUACAAUAUUUUUAGGAGUAAAUUUAACAUUUUUCCCUCAACAUUUCUUAGGAUUAGCAGGAAUGCCUCGACGUUAUUCUGAUUAUCCAGAUGCAUAUACUUCUUGAAAUAUUGUUUCUUCUAUUGGUUCUACAAUUUCAUUGGUAGGAAUUCUAUUUUUUAUUUAUAUUAUCUGAAAUAGUAUAACAUCCUAUAACCAAAUUAUUUAUCCAAUUCAACUAAAUUCUUCUAUUGAAUGAUAUCAAAAUAUUCCACCUGCUGAACAUUCUUAUUCAGAAUUACCUCUUCUAUAUAAUUUCUAAUAUGGCAGAUUAGUGCAAUGAAUUUAAGCUUCAUAUAUAAAGAAUAUUCUUUUAUUAGAAAUAUCAAUGGCAACAUGAUCAAAUUUAAAUUUACAAGAUAGAGCUUCACCUUUAAUAGAACAACUUACAUUCUUUCAUGAUCAUGCUCUAUUAAUUCUUAUUAUAAUUACUAUUUUAAUUGGAUAUUUAAUAUAUAUACUAUUUUUUAAUUAUUAUACAAAUCGUUAUUUACUAUCUGGUCAAAUAAUUGAAAUCAUUUGAACAAUUAUACCUACAAUUAUUUUAUUAUUUAUUGCAUUUCCAUCUCUUCGAUUACUAUAUCUUUUAGAUGAAGUUAAUAAUCCAACUAUUACAUUAAAAACUAUUGGGCAUCAAUGAUACUGAAGUUAUGAAUACUCUGAUUUUAAUAAUUUAGAAUUUGACUCUUACAUAAUUCCUAUUAAUGAAAUUCGAAUUAUUAUUUCUGCCACAGAUGUUCUUCACUCAUGAACAAUUCCAGCCUUAGGGGUAAAAGUAGACGCCUCUCCUGGUCGAUUAAAUCAAACUAAUUUUUAUAUUUACCGACCCGGUUUAUUUUAUGGCCAAUGUUCUGAAAUUUGCGGAGCCAAUCAUAGUUUUAUACCUAUUGUUAUUGAAUCAACAAUUCCAAAAACAUUUAUUCAAUGAAUUAAAAAUAAUAUUUCAUUAGAUAACUUAAAGUAAGUAAUGGUCUCUUAAACCACAAUAUAGUAAUUAACGAAUACUUCUAAUGAUUAAAAAAUUAGUUAAAAUUAUAACAUUAGCUUGUCAAACUAAAAUUAUUUAUAUAAAUAUUUUUUAAUUCCACAAAUAGCCCCAUUAAUAUGAUUAACCUUAUUUAUUUUUUUUUUAUUUAUAUAUUUAUUAUUUAAUAUUAUAAAUUACUUUUCUUUUACAUUAGAAAAUAUAAAUAAAAAUACAAAUAAAUCUUUAAAUAAAUCUCAAUAUAAUUGAAAAUGAUAAGUAACCUUUUUUCAGUAUUUGACCCCUCUACCACAAUUAUAAAUUUUUCAUUAAAUUGAAUUAGAACUAUUUUAGGUAUUAUUUUUAUUCCUAUUAGAUUUUGAUUCAUUCCUUCUCGUUAUCACAUUUUAUGAAAUAAAAUUACUAUAACUCUUAAUAAUGAAUUUAAUACUUUACUUGGAGAAAAUAAGCAUCAAGGAAGAACUUUUUUAUUUAUUUCUUUAUUUUCUAUUAUUUUAUUUAAUAAUUUUUUAGGAUUAUUUCCUUAUAUUUUUACUUCAUCUAGUCAUUUAACUUUAACACUUUCUUUAGCUCUUCCUUUAUGAUUAAGUUUUAUAUUAUUUGGAUGAAUUAAUCACAUACAACACAUAUUUGCUCAUCUUGUACCCCAAGGAACUCCUUCAGUUUUAAUACCUUUUAUAGUGGUAAUUGAAACAAUUAGAAAUAUUAUUCGUCCAGGAACUCUAGCUGUUCGACUAAUAGCAAAUAUAAUUGCAGGUCAUCUAUUAAUAACUUUAUUAGGAAAUACAGGGCCUUCACUCUCAUAUUACCUUAUUUCAUUUCUACUAAUUACCCAAAUUGCACUUUUAGUAUUAGAAUCAGCUGUUGCUAUAAUUCAAUCUUAUGUAUUUGCUGUCUUAAGAACUUUAUACUCUAGAGAAGUAAUUUAAUUUAA